This 71-nucleotide transfer RNA is filed under the name Loxodonta africana (African savanna elephant). It matches the Rfam family "tRNA". From Rfam's summary of the family: Transfer RNA (tRNA) molecules are approximately 80 nucleotides in length. Lineage: Eukaryota; Metazoa; Chordata; Mammalia; Proboscidea; Elephantidae. The record is from Rfam by way of RNAcentral.
GUACUGUUGGUUCAGUGGUAUAAUUUUCACCUUCCAUGCAAGAGACCUGGGUUCAAGUCCCAGGCAAUGCA